This 158-nucleotide microRNA precursor is filed under the name Pelobates cultripes (western spadefoot toad). The record is from RNAcentral. Lineage: Eukaryota; Metazoa; Chordata; Amphibia; Anura; Pelobatidae.
CGCCCCCUAUACGUCAUCAUUGAGUAAACUUUGACCCGGAACCUCACAGUCAGCAGACACUUCCUGGGAGGGAGGGUCUGCUGCUGAUUGGGUGGAAUGUGUCUGCUGGCUGUGAGUUUCCGGGUCAAAGUUUACUCAAUGAUGACGUAUAGGGGGCG